This 253-nucleotide ribosomal RNA is filed under the name uncultured bacterium. RNAcentral's name for it is "partial 16S ribosomal RNA". It matches the Rfam family "Bacterial small subunit ribosomal RNA", at positions 524 to 776 of the family's 1533-position model. The record is from RNAcentral.
UACGUAGGGGGCUAGCGUUGUCCGGAAUUAUUGGGCGUAAAGAGCUCGUAGGCGGUUUGUCGCGUCUGCUGUGAAAAUCCAGGGCUUAACCCUGGACCUGCAGUGGGUACGGGCAGACUAGAGUGCGGUAGGGGAGAUCGGAAUUCCUGGUGUAGCGGUGAAAUGCGCAGAUAUCAGGAGGAACACCAGUGGCGAAGGCGGCUCACUGGACCGGUGCUGACGCUGAUGCGCGAAAGCGUGGGGAGCAAACGGG